Molecule: long non-coding RNA, 3601 nt
Organism: Cynoglossus semilaevis (tongue sole)
Lineage: Eukaryota; Metazoa; Chordata; Actinopteri; Pleuronectiformes; Cynoglossidae
Exons: 3
Source: RefSeq, a predicted model, not a curated record
GACGAGGGAUCGGCGCCAUUUCUCAUCAGUUCUACAGCCAAGUAACUGUUGGCAGGUUUAUACAAGAGGGAGAUGUUAGUGUGACGAGGAUGAUGGUGAGGAUGUGAUCCUGAACAUCACAGGGCAAGAUUUGGAUUCUGUCAAAAAUGACUAAGUGUAGUUCAUGUCACAGCACGACUUUGUGACACUGCAGUUGUUGAUACACAAGGGAUUAAACCUUAUGUAAAAAGCCUGAUACAAUUACUAUUCUGAAGUUUUAUUAAAGACAAUCUGAGCAAUAGUUGGUGCAGUAUUGGCCACCUACAGUAUCUGAUCAGGGAUUCUAAAAUAACCUCCAGUCUCUCUUUUUCAACCUCACAUUCCCAGAGUCUGCAUGAACUAACAAACCCCGAUUGUUCCAGGAAAGUGACUCGGGAGCCAUGACUGAUUCCGACAUCCCUCAGGUGUUGCUGUGAAUGUGAAAUAAAGGUGCAUUUUGUGAAAGGCGUAUUUACCCGUUCAUGAUCAUGGCAUCCAGCGUGGUUUCUCCUUUCUCAUCUGGGCUGCCUCCGUAGCCCACACUGCCGUCACACUGCUCAGCUUCACAGCGGGUGCAUCCCUGCUCCACGGCAUCCAACACUGAUCCACCGGACUGCAGGACUUGCCAGGCUACAUGAGGACAAAAGGACGGGAGGAAAAAAAAAGGAUGCUGGUGGCAAGAUGGAAGUACCCUGAGGGGGGGCAGAUCCAACCCCGUCUUAUAAGACAUAGGUCUUAUGUUGCCUAUGUGUGCUUCAAGUGUUGAGGUUGGGAAAUAAAAUAAAAAAUGUAAAGGAACCCAUGCACACAUGGGAAGAACAUGGGAACUUCAUCCAGAAGAACUCUCUCUGAACUGGAUAUUAAAUGGUGGUGUCAUGCAGCCAACAGUGUUUGGUAAUGUUUCUACAACAAGUUUCAAUCUUCACCUGUUUUAUUUUAUAACUUUUUAUAUUGUAUAACUUGCUAAAAGCAGUGAUUUUGUACUUGGCUAUUAAUAAUUUCACAUGUUUUAUGAAAUGUCCACUUUGGUGAAUUUCUAAUAGUGAGUGGGAGCCAACAAGCAUUUGGUCAUUGAUCUCUGCUGAUCCCCCAACUGCCCAUGGGGGAUCAGAAUACCAACUGCUAUCACUGUCACCAGAUUGCCACUAAAUCAUCUGACCACUGCUUUGUUCAGCGGGAUGCUGCCAGAAAAUCCUGUUCUUAUCAGUGAAGAUUCCCCAUUUGAAAUUCCACAGUCAUUGGUAAACACUCUUUUCUCUGCAUGUGUUAUUUUCUAAGCUAAACUCCACAGUACAGUGCUCCUUAUUUAAAAAAAAAAAAGAAAAGCAGCAGCUGAGUGGAAGGGUAGAUCAGCAUGCGGCCACUAAAUCCACCUGCAGAACAGACAGCUGGGUGUAUUUUUCAUUUUCACAGAUGCCUUAGGUAAAAAGAUGUGACAGCCAUCUGAUAAAUUAAAGGACAUCCAUCUUCCCAAUCUUUAAACUCACGUAAAUCACUAACAGGUUUGAUCUAUAGCCUUUGAGAUCUUCGGGAAACAUGGUUCGUACCCAUAUUUCCGUCCCUCAAGUGUGUUUUUUGAGUUAUGCACCUUGUAGAAAAACCACUUGGCUGCAAAGCUGAAAUAUUUUCAGUUUCAAUUUCAACAAGUCCAAUGUGUCGCCCUGAAGGGAAUCAAAUGGAGAGAGGGCAGAGCUGGCGGUGGCAGUUAUGAGCUGAGAGGUUCCUGCCAAUUUUCUAUCGGCAUUUGAGACUUGAUGGGCUUACGGUUAAGCUGCGCUGGAAUCUUGAGUGCAGGAGAAAAAAAAAUCUUUAUAAAUAAAUACAUAUACAAUGUAUUCAUGCAUGCAUACAUACAUAUAUAUAUAUACAUACAUAUAUACAGUAUAUGUAUGUUAGGGAUGUAUGUACACUAUGUCUACAUGCAUUUUUUAUCUAUAUAUACAUAUACCGUAUGUGUACAUAUGCAUAUAUACAGUAUAUAAAAGGCUAAAUCCUUGCCUUUUCUGAGUUUUCUCUCAAUUAUUCAUAGCCACACACACACAGACAAACUCCCAGACUCUGCUCGCCUGAUGCAUUUCUUGGAAUGUAUUUGUCAGACUGACUGUUAUUUUCAUUAGAAAUGAUUCUAUUAACUUGGAACAGUGACAAUAUUUUCCCAAAACCAAAUCACAUUUUUUUAGGCCCCGGACAUGCAGGAAUACUAAUGAAACCGAGCCAAACAAAUCAACAUUGAUGAGAGCAGGUCCAUAUUACGUGCUUGCAAAUGUUCCCAUCAGUGCCACAUUGUGUGUACACAGUACAUGCAUUUCCGUUUAAAUAUACAAGACAUUGCAUGUUACUCAAGCAAAUGCAGAUUUUUGAAGAUCAGUGUAGAGCCAUGCUGUAGUUUUUUUUAGGGACUUCGGCCGCUCUUUUCUCCAGUAGAUCCCUACUUAGGACUUGUCGGAUAAUCACGUCACUAAUAAACAAAUGUCAUAAGCUGUAGUAUCUUUUUAUAAUGUUGGUUCACUUGGACAUUUUCAAUGGGGAAAGAGAGAGAGAGUAACCUGAGAGCAAUGGGUCAAUGUUAGUCGUGUUGAAGCAGCUGCAGCCAUAAAACAGUGGCAUAUUCAGUGAGUUAUUCUUAAUUUAUUUAAUUAACUUGAGCCAACAUGAUGUUAUUCUUUAACUGGAGUUAAUAAAUAUAGCAGAAUUCUAAAUAUUGAGGUUUUACAUUUAAAUUGAUCAAAAUGUGUUUUACUACUAACAACAAGAACAUGCAUUUUUAGGUUUUCUUUUGUUGUUACCUGCACACAUCAUGUAAAGUCAUUGUGCUGCUGGAGAAUUUUACAAAAUAUUAAUUGGACAAUUUCUGUAAAAGACAAGACAGUCAACAGAGCCGAAGGUCAACACAAUCCUCCUAUAUUUGUCCCCAACGACAGCUCAAUUUUAUUGACACUUCUGCAGGUUAUUCUACAUUUUCAGGGUUUUUACAACUUGAGAAGAUGUCUAACAGAGAAUGAUAACUACUUUACUGGUCUUUACUGACCGAAUGGUUUAAACCUUCAAAUACUUUUACUUCAUACUUCUCAGCACCUUUAUCUUUUAUCAGUAUUUUUUUAUGUAUUCCUGCUUUAACAGGGACAGUUUGCAUUCAUAUUCAAGUUAAAACAUUUUAGAAAGUUAUUUCAUAUUUUAACUUCUAAGUGCAGAAACUACCUUGAAAAAGUUUUACAAUGUAAAAAAUGUCCAAUUUGGAUUCUUCUCACCCAAAAUAAAAGUCUCAAGGAAUUUAAUUAAUUGUGUCAAUGUUUCCCUAACUCCUAAACCCUUGAAACAGAUACAGUCUAGUAAUGCUGAUCUUGCACAAUGCAAUAAUGUUUUACAAAAAUGUCUCCCUUGGAAUAACUUUUAAGUAAAUCAAUUUUUACUGCGGUCAUAAUAAGACCUGUUUUACAGCCUGUAGGCUGAUUGUCACUCUUGACAUUACAAUAAAAAGUGUUUAAACUGCUUUAUUGCAUUAUUCGUGGUUUAUGUCAGUUAUAAUGUGACAUUUUUAUGAGACAGUAUCCCAGUAAUGUAAAUGUCAAGCAAACAAAAAAAA